This 309-nucleotide ribosomal RNA is filed under the name Triticum aestivum (bread wheat). RNAcentral's name for it is "partial small subunit ribosomal RNA". The record is from RNAcentral. Lineage: Eukaryota; Viridiplantae; Streptophyta; Magnoliopsida; Poales; Poaceae.
AUGCUCUCGAUCAGUGGCAAGGAGACUUUACUAAAAGCCAUGGCACAGGCGAUUCCAGUCUAUGCCAUGUCUGUUUUUAAUAUCCUCAAAAAUAUUUGUAAGGCUAUUUGCGAUGCUAUCGCUAGAUAUUGGUGGGGAGACACUCAGAAUAAGAAAAUACACUGGAAAGCAUGGUGGAAGAUGUGUAUCCCGAAAAAUGAAGGAGGCAUGGGAUUCCGAGAUCUGUACAGUUUCAAUAGAGCCAUGUUAGCUAAGCAAUGUUGGCGGUUAUUAUCUGAUCCGGAUUCGUUAUGUGCUCAAGUCUUAUGA